CUACGGGUCGCUCCAGUGGGGAAUCUUGCACAAUGGGGGAAACCCUGAUGCAGCGACGCCGCGUGAGCGAUGAAGUCCUUCGGGGCGUAAAGCUCUUUCAGUGGGAACGAUAAUGACGGUACCCACAGAAGAAGCUGCGGCUAACUACGUGCCAGCAGCCGCGGUAAUACGUAGGCAGCAAGCGUUGUUCGGAGUUACUGGGCGUAAAGAGUGCAUAGGCGGUUCCGUAAGUUCGGUGUGAAAUCUCCUGGCUUAACUGGGAGGGUGCGCCGGAAACUGCGGAGCUUGAGCACGGGAGAGGAAAGCGGAAUUCCUGGUGUAGCGGUGAAAUGCGUAGAUAUCAGGAGGAACACCGGUGGUGUAGACGGCUUUCUGGACCGUUGCUGACGCUGAGGCACGAAAGCGUGGGGAGCAAACAGGAUUAGAUACCCUGGUAGUC
Molecule: ribosomal RNA, 439 nt
Filed under: uncultured bacterium
Lineage: Bacteria
Description: partial 16S ribosomal RNA
Rfam family: Bacterial small subunit ribosomal RNA
Source: RNAcentral